This 1440-nucleotide long non-coding RNA is filed under the name Homo sapiens (human). Its description in RNAcentral is "HSALNT0364717". The record is from RNAcentral. Lineage: Eukaryota; Metazoa; Chordata; Mammalia; Primates; Hominidae.
CACAUGAGAAGGUAUAUUUAACAAAAGACCUGAAGAAGGUGAGGGAGUUAUUCCUGAGGACUUCUGUGGAAGAGAUUGUUGGGCAGGAGGAACACCAAAUGCUGAUACCCUGAGUGAGCAAGCAGCUUCUUUACAGUGUUUCAGGGAGAGUGACAAAGCCAAAGUGGGUGGAAAGAGGGAACAAAGAUAAAAAGAGGAGAAAAGGAUCUCAGGCAGGUAAUGGAUGCUACAUUUCUUGGAACUUUGCAAGCUUUCAUUCUGACUAAGAAAAGGAGUGACAUAAUCUGACAUAUUUUAGGAUCUGUCUGUAUACUAAUUAAGAAUGGGUGUGGACAGAGACACAGAGGCCGAUUAGGAGACUGUGGCAAUAAUCUAGAUGAGAAGAUGGUUGAACUGGCACUAGGAGUGGUGAGAAGUGGUUGAACUCAGAAUAUGUUUUGAAGGUACAGACAACAGGAUUCUGAAUGUGACAGAAAGGAAGGAGCCAAAAACCGUGCUAAGCUUUUUGACUCUAGCAACCAGAAAACAGAAUUGUCAUUACUGAAAUGAGAACAGAGGAAAGAAUAUUGGUGGGAAGUCAGGUAGUGCUCAGGUUUUAACAUAUUAAUUUUGAAGUGCUUAUCAUUAAACCUCCUACUGAACAUAUGAAGUAGGCAGUUAGAUAUGUUGGUAUGGAAUUCAGAGGAAAGUUAUUAGUAUUAAGAUGGUAUUUAACUCAUCCCCAGAGAGUGUUAGUUCAUAGAUAAUGAGAGAACAACAAGAGAAAUCCAAGUUCUAAACUCUGCCCUAUGGCACUCUGAUCCUUAGAGAUGGUUGAGAUGAAAAGGAACCAACAAAGAAACCGAGAACAAGAGUAGCUAGAGUAGCUAGCAAGGUAGAAGGAGAACUAGAGUAUGACACCUAGAGAUGAGUCACAAAGGAAAAGACAUGAAGGAUAGCAGUAUCACAAAGCAAGGUUGAAGAAAAGGCCAGCAUCUGGGAUGCCAAUUUGAGCAGGACAUGGCAGUAAUUACUGGAGAUCCAAGUAAGGGGAUGAGUUAACAAAGGGCUAAAUUGGCAGGCAGCCUGACUGGGUCCAGAUGGGCAGAUGCGGCCACAUCAAAGAGACUCAUCAGUUUAGUCAGUGACCCAAAGCAAACUUAUAAGCCCAGGGCAUCUGAGUUCUAGAGGCUGGUGGUGAGAGAAGAGAGCAGAAGAACAGAAAUUAGCCCAAAAGAGGCUGGAAUUCAAGAACAAGAUUUCAUCUGCUGGUAGAACACCAAAAGCAGAGCCCGCCUGACAGUGCUGGACCAGGAGAUGUUGAAACAGAGCUUCCUCUAUGCAUUCCUAUUUAAGAACUGAAUCAACCUCUCAGAUUUAAAACCAUCAGAAAUAACUAAGUACUCACAAUAUGAAGAUGAGUAGUUAUACCUUGAUAACAAAUAAAAUCCAAACACUUGA